RNA transcript from Homo sapiens (human), 7360 nucleotides. It is a transcript of the gene named NBPF member 8, with no coding region annotated. The record is from RefSeq and is marked reviewed. The transcript has 24 exons. Lineage: Eukaryota; Metazoa; Chordata; Mammalia; Primates; Hominidae.
GACGCGCCGAGCGGGACCCUGAGGAGCCAGCUGGCUCAGGCUAUGGGCUGGGCGGCGGUUGAGACAGCGGCGGUAUUGGGAGGGGUAGGUGAGGGUCGCGAGGCUGCGUGAGCAUCUGAGUGAACGCGGUGCUUUUGGGAACGCGGGACGGGCGACCUGUGGCGCCAGGAGCGGGCCGAGGCGCGGCGCACGGAUGCCAUCUGGAUGGGAAGUUACGGUUUACAGCGAAGUCCACCCAGCGUUUCCGAGGUGAAGGCGCCGCGCCAGGCCGGGGGGCGUGUUGUUCAUCCUUUCUUUGCCGAAAGAAUGAAUCCCAGUGCUUCACGAAGUUAAAGGAAAGAUCUGCUGACAGGGCCUCACUCUAUUGCCCAGGCUAGAGUGCCGUGGCAGGAUCUCAGCUCACUGCAACCUCCACCUCCUGGCUCAAGCGAUCCUCCCACCUCAGCCUCCUGAGUAGCUGCGACUAUAGGAGUGUGCCACCAUGCCUGGCUUAAUUUUCAUAUUUUUUGUAGAGAUGGGGAUUCAACAUGUUUCCCAGGCAAUCUGAAAGCAAAUCCUGUUUAGAUGCAGGCGAAGGUUCCUGGUGACCCAGGCUCUCACCUUACCGUCCCUUACCGUCCUCCUGAGGGUGUCCUGGAGCUUCAGUGCUGUGUGUUCUUGGCCUCCACGCUGGGGGUGCCACCAACUCCCACUGUCCAGGGCUUCCAGUGGACUCUCCGAGGUACUGAUGUAGAAACUUCCCCAUUCGGUGCACCAAGAGCAACCUCACACGGUGUGGGCCGAAUGAAGAGCUGCCAGAUCCCACAGCCCUUGAAGAUAAGGAUGGUCAAACAAAAUAAUAUCAUACCUGGAGAAACUCAGAUCUUGCUAAGAUUUACUGGUUGGGAAUCCAAAGUUAAUGCCAAGAAGCAGCCGCCAGUUGGGAUCAAAUGUGAGCCUAUGGAUCAAGACGGUUACCUGGCACGCUGGCCACAAUCUACCUCACUCUUAUCAGAGUCUGAGCUACUGGCAGUGCUUUCAGCUCUGAGUUGAGGCACCUCGAACCUUGUUUUUGUGGUGAAGGAUCCUAAAGUGCUGUGGGAGUGAUCACAUUUUUCACAACAGUAAGGUAAGAAUUUCAGUUACUGACAUCCCUCAGUCCUGAUUAAACCUAUUUGAUUUCACCAGUUUUUAACCCAUCAUAUGUUUGGGUUUCUUCUCCCCAGUCCCUGACUCCACCUCUUCUGCCACAAACGUCAGCAUGGUGGUAUCAGCCGGCCCUUGGUCCAGCGAGAAGGCAGAGAUGAACAUUCUAGAAAUCAACGAGAAAUUGCGCCCCCAGUUGGCAGAGAACAAACAGCAGUUCGUAAACCUCAAAGAGAGAUGUUUUCUAACUCAACUGGCCGGCUUCCUGGCCAACCGACAGAAGAAAUACAAGUAUGAAGAGUGUAAAGACCUCAUAAGAUUUAUGCUGAGGAAUGAGCGACAGUUCAAGGAGGAGAAGCUUGCAGAGCAGCUCAAGCAAGCUGAGGAGCUCAGGCAAUAUAAAGUCCUGGUUCACUCUCAGGAACGAGAGCUGACGCAGUUAAAGGAGAAGUUACAGGAAGGGAGAGAUGCCUCCCGCUCAUUGAAUGAGCAUCUCCAGGCCCUCCUCACUCUGGAUGAGCCGGACAAGUCCCAGGGGCAGGACCUCCAAGAACAGCUGGCUGAGGGGUGUAGACUGGCACAGCACCUUGUCCAAAAGCUCAGCCCAGAAAAUGACGAAGAUGAGGAUGAAGAUGUUCAAGUUGAGGAGGAUGAGAAAGUGCAGAAAUCAUCUGCCCCCAGGGAGGUGCAGAAGGCUGAAGAGAGCAAAGUCCCUGAGGACUCACUGGAGGAAUGUGCCAUCACUUGUUCAAAUAGCCACGGCCCUUGUGACUCCAACCAGCCUCACAAGAACAUCAAAAUCACAUUUGAGGAAGACGAAGUCAACUCAACUCUGGUUGUAGACAGAGAAUCCUCUCAUGAUGAAUGUCAGGAUGCUCUAAACAUUCUCUCAGUCCCUGGCCCCACCUCUUCUGCCACAAACGUCAGCAUGGUGGUAUCAGCCGGCCCUUUGUCCAGCGAGAAGGCAGAGAUGAACAUUCUAGAAAUCAAUGAGAAAUUGCACCCCCAGCUGGCAGAGAAGAAACAGCAGUUCAGAAACCUCAAAGAGAAAUGUUUUCUAACUCAACUGGCCGGCUUCCUGGCCAACCGACAGAACAAAUACAAAUAUGAAGAGUGCAAAGAUCUCAUAAAAUCUAUGCUGAGGAAUGAGCGACAGUUCAAGGAGGAGAAGCUUGCAGAGCAGCUCAAGCAAGCUGAGGAGCUCAGGCAAUAUAAAGUCCUGGUUCACACUCAGGAACGAGAGCUGACCCAGUUAAGGGAGAAGUUGCGGGAAGGGAGAGAUGCCUCCCUCUCAUUGAAUGAGCAUCUCCAGGCCCUCCUCACUCCGGAUGAGCCGGACAAGUCCCAGGGGCAGGACCUCCAAGAACAGCUGGCUGAGGGGUGUAGACUGGCACAGCACCUUGUCCAAAAGCUCAGCCCAGAAAAUGACAACGAUGACGAUGAAGAUGUUCAAGUUGAGGUGGCUGAGAAAGUGCAGAAAUCGUCUGCCCCCAGGGAGAUGCAGAAGGCUGAAGAAAAGGAAGUCCCUGAGGACUCACUGGAGGAAUGUGCCAUCACUUAUUCAAAUAGCCAUGGCCCUUAUGACUCCAACCAGCCACAUAGGAAAACCAAAAUCACAUUUGAGGAAGACAAAGUCGACUCAGCUCUCAUUGGCUCAUCCUCUCAUGUUGAAUGGGAGGAUGCUGUACACAUUAUUCCAGAAAAUGAAAGUGAUGAUGAGGAAGAGGAAGAAAAAGGACCAGUGUCUCCCAGGACAUCGGUGGGAUCAAGUGAAAAAGGAGGACCAAGAGGCAACAGGUCCCAGGCUCAGCAGGGAGCUGCUGGAUGAGAAAGGGCCUGAAGUCUUGCAGGACUCACUGGAUAGAUGUUAUUCAACUCCUUCAGGUUGCCUUGAACUGACUGACUCAUGCCAGCCCUACAGAAGUGCGUUUUACAUAUUGGAGCAACAGCGUGUUGGCUUGGCUGUUGACAUGGAUGAAAUUGAAAAGUACCAAGAAGUGGAAGAAGACCAAGACCCAUCAUGCCCCAGGCUCAGCAGGGAGCUGCUGGAUGAGAAAGAGCCUGAAGUCUUGCAGGACUCACUGGAUAGAUGUUAUUCGACUCCUUCAGGUUAUCUUGAACUGCCUGACUUAGGCCAGCCCUACAGCAGUGCUGUUUACUCAUUGGAGGAACAGUACCUUGGCUUGGCUCUUGACGUGGACAGAAUUAAAAAGGACCAAGAAGAGGAAGAAGACCAAGGCCCACCAUGCCCCAGGCUCAGCAGGGAGCUGCUGGAGGUAGUAGAGCCUGAAGUCUUGCAGGACUCACUGGAUAGAUGUUAUUCAACUCCUUCCAGUUGUCUUGAACAGCCUGACUCCUGCCAGCCGUAUGGAAGUUCCUUUUAUGCAUUGGAGGAAAAACAUGUUGGCUUUUCUCUUGACGUGGGAGAAAUUGAAAAGAAGGGGAAGGGGAAGAUAAGAAGGGGAAGAAGAUCAAAGAAGAAAAGAAGAAGGGGAAGAAAAGAAGGGGAAGAAGAUCAAAACCCACCAUGCCCCAGGCUCAACAGCGUGCUGAUGGAAGUGGAAGAGCCUGAAGUCUUACAGGACUCACUGGAUAGAUGUUAUUCGACUCCAUCAAUGUACUGUGAACUACGUGACUCAUUCCAGCACUACAGAAGUGUGUUUUACUCAUUUGAGGAACAGCACAUCAGCUUUGCCCUUGACAUGGACAAUAGGUUCUUUACUUUGACGGUGACAAGUCUCUAUCUGGUCUUCCAGAUGGGAGUCAUAUUCCCACAAUAAGCAGCCCUUACUAAGCCGAGAGGUGUCAUUCCUGCAGGCAGGACCUAUAGGCGCCUGAAGAUUUGAAUGAAACUAUAGUUCCAUUUGGAAGCCCAGACAUAGGAUGGGUCAGUGGGCAUGGCUCUAUUCCUAUUCUCAGAGCAUGCCAGUGGCAACCUGUGCUCAGUCUGAAGACAAUGGACCCACGUUAGGUGUGACACGUUCACAUAACUGUGCAGCACAUGCCGGGAGUGAUCAGUCGGACAUUUUAAUUUGAACCACGUAUCUCUGGGUAGCUACAAAAUUCCUCAGGGAUUUCAUUUUGCAGGCAUGUCUCUGAGCUUCUAUACCUGCUCAAGGUCAUUGUCAUCUUUGUGUUUAGCUCAUCCAAAGGUGUUACCCUGGUUUCAAUGAACCUAACCUCAUUCUUUGUGUCUUCAGUGUUGGCUUGUUUUAGCUGAUCCAUCUGUAACACAGGAGGGAUCCUUGGCUGAGGAUUGUAUUUCAGAACCACCAACUGCUCUUGACAAUUGUUAACCCGCUAGGCUCCUUUGGUUAGAGAAGCCACAGUCCUUCAGCCUCCAAUUGGUGUCAGUACUUAGGAAGACCACAGCUAGAUGGACAAACAGCAUUGGGAGGCCUUAGCCCUGCUCCUCUCAAUUCCAUCCUGUAGAGAACAGGAGUCAGGAGCCGCUGGCAGGAGACAGCAUGUCACCCAGGACUCUGCCGGUGCAGAAUAUGAGCAAUGCCAUGUUCUUGCAGAAAACGCUUAACCUGAGUUUCAUAGGAGGUAAUCACCAGACAACUGCAGAAUGUAGAACACUGAGCAGGACAACUGACCUGUCUCCUUCACAUAGUCCAUAUCACCACAAAUCACACAACAAAAAGGAGAAGAGAUAUUUUCGGUUGAAAAAAAGUAAAAAGAUAAUGUAGCUGCAUUUCUUUAGUUAUUUUGAACCCCAAAUAUUUCCUCAUCUUUUUGUUGUUGUCAUGGAUGGUGGUGACAUGGACUUGUUUAUAGAGGACAGGUCAGCUGUCUGGCUCAAUGAUCUACAUUCUGAAGUUGUCUGAAAAUGUCUUCAUGAUUAAAUUCAGCCUAAACGUUUUGCCGGGAACACUGCAGAGACAAUGCUGUGAGUUUCCAACCUCAGCCCAUCUGCGGGCAGAGAAGGUCUAGUUUGUCCAUCACCAUUAUGAUAUCAGGACUGGUUACUUGGUUAAGGAGGGGUCUAGGAGAUCUGUCCCUUUUAGAGACACCUUACUUAUAAUGAAGUACUUGGGAAAGCAGUUUUCAAGAGUAUAAAUAUCCUGUAUUCUAAUGAUCAUCCUCUAAACAUUUUAUCAUUUAUUAAUCCUCCCUGCCUGUGUCUAUUAUUAUAUUCAUAUCUCUACACUGCAAAUUUUGGGUCUCAAUUUUUACUGUGCCUUUGUUUUUACUAGUGUCUGCUGUUGCAAAAAGAAGAAAACAUUCUCUGCCUGAGUUUUAAUUUUUGUCCAAAGUUAAUUUUAAUCUAUACAAUUAAAACCUUUUGCCUAUCACUCUGGACUUUUGGAUUGUUUUUCACAUUCAGUGUUAUAAUAUUUGAUUAUGCUGAUUGGUUUUGGUGGGUACUGAUGCGAAUUAAUAAAAACAUUUCAUUUCCAUGUUUAUUUUGUAAUCUCUUCCACAUUGUAGGCUAUGUUUACCAUACGUAGCAGAAUGUGUUUACAUUUCUUGGUUCUAGUCAUUUGUAUUCUUCGUGAGUGUGAGAGUGUGUGUGUGCGUGUGUGUGUCUGUGUGUGCCUUUGGCAUUUAGGAAGGGUUGUAUAGCUCAUGUUAAAUAUUGCACUAAAAAUGUUUUUGAUGGUUUUCCUCCCUUUGAACUAGACACACUUCUAAUAUUUGGUUUAUAGUUUUAAAUUAUAACUUUCAGCAUCAAAUAUUUCCAUACAACAGUCAAUUACAUGAUGUGUUUUCUUUUUCCUACCUCCUUUACCUGCCACUUCUCAUAAUAGUAUUUGAACCUAAACAUAUACCGGUGACAUUCUGUGAUUAUCAUCUUGCCCCUACCUUGGUUUUUGGUUUAGAUCCACAAUGAAAUAUAUUAACGCUCAUGAGCUAUUCAAAAGUGAAUGUCACAGUCAUCACUUGCUGAGUGGUACUCAUCCUUAACAGAGUCCUCAUGAGGGAAUCAGGUCUCGCUGAGUUUAGCAUGUUUAAUAAUCUUUUCUCACGGUCUCGAUACAUGGAUCGCAUUACUAGAUAUAAGGUGCUUGCCCAAAAUGAUUUUUCUGGAGUUUUUAGGAGAUAUUGUCCUCCUUGGGGGACAUACAUGGUGUAUGUUCUCAUUGUGGGAUUCGAUUUUGUUCUACCAGGACCUCUAAUUUCUGCCAGUUACUUCACUCAUUUGUUCUCUUCACCAUGAGUCUCCAGAGGAUACUUCCAUGGUCCGUGCCUCCCCAUCUCCCAGUAAUUCUGCAUUUCCAAGAUUGGCACCUCUGGUCCUCUGCACGGUGAAGCCCCUUCCUUUCAAUUCCCCAGUAGCCAGUGCUCUAAUCCACCAGGUCUCAGGCAUGAUCUAUGUUUCUCCACACUCGCUUUCUGAGGAUAGUUUUGCCUGGGUUCUAUCAUGAACAGGCCCUCCCUGCUGUCCUGGCCUCUAUUUGCAUAGUGUUUCCUGCUCCCUCUGCCGUCGUGUGGCUCCCAGACCUGGCUAAAGAAAAUCACCUGAGGGCCACAGUGUUCCCUAGCCCUGGUGUUUAGGGGCAGGAUUAUGGGUGAGAUUUUUGAGUCUCUAAGUUGACCCCUACGGCUCUGAAGUGUAUGUUGAGAAAUUCAGCUGUUAUCAUCCUAGGUGGACUUGCUCCCUCCUAUCCUCCUACUUCAAAUGCAGAACUUCAAUCGUUUACAAAAGAAGACUGAAUCGUAUAAUAGAACACACCCUUAUUCAUUGGCUGGCUUCACCAAUCUCGUGGCUGAACUUGUAAAAAUACAAUCUUAGCCACAUACCUAUGAAAUGUAUAUGUGUGUGUAUAUAUAUACAUGAAUUUGCUUCUGAGAUUAUGGAGGCUGAAAUUCCCAAGAUGGAAGGAAAGCUGGAUACCCAGGAAAGCAUUUGUUUCCCAUUAGGCCUCUUAAUUCUCUCCUGGCCCUUGAUUGAUUGCAUGAGGCCCACCCCUAUUAAGGAGGGCAAUCUGCUUCACUUAGUCUGCCCAUCCCAAUGUUAAUCGUAUCUGAAAGACUCUCUGGAACACAACCAGAAUCAUGUUUGGCCAAAUGUCCUGGCACCCUGGUGCUCGGUCACAGUGACAAGUACAAGUAACUAUCACACAUGCCCUUUGUCAUAUUGGUGAUUUCCACUGUUUUUCUCCCAAACUGCAGCUUAUAUUUGUUCUCUUAGUACUGUUGAGCAAAAACUUAAUUUUUAUAAAGUCGAAUUUAUCAAUGUUUUCUUUAAUGGUUUGUGUUUAUUGAUAAUAAAGAACACUUUACCUAA